ACACAGACGCUUUCGACAUGUCUCUCAUGCACAGUGUCCGCUCUCGCGCUCUCCGUAGCUAAUGCAGCGAUAAUAUGUCGGUUGCACUUGCACGCACGCCCAUCGGCAUUGAAUGUGAGCAGUGCCGCUAUAGAGCAGUUGGUGUACGCGUGCGCUCGCCUUUCGCUGUGUAUGUGUGUGUGUGUAUUCGCGGUUUGAGUAAUUUCGAAAAAUUUUUGUAUAUUUGAUGGCGACAACGACGGCUGCUUUACUCACAAGAAACGCGCGUAUGUCGAAAAUUGUAGCGCGUACGUAUAUCGGUGUGUAGAAAUUGCUUUUAAAUUGUGUUACACACUUAACAAUUGUGUAGAAAUUUAGAAUUUGCGUGUUGUAUUUGUU
This is a non-coding RNA of Drosophila virilis, 378 nucleotides long. The record is from RefSeq and is a predicted model, not a curated record. Lineage: Eukaryota; Metazoa; Arthropoda; Insecta; Diptera; Drosophilidae.